Molecule: unclassified non-coding RNA, 130 nt
Filed under: Variovorax sp. PBS-H4
Lineage: Bacteria; Pseudomonadati; Pseudomonadota; Betaproteobacteria; Burkholderiales; Comamonadaceae
Description: yybP-ykoY
Source: RNAcentral
UGCCCAACCGAAGGGGAGUAGCUCCCAACCGUCCUCCACGAGGGCGGACUUCGACAGGUCGUCAAUACGAAGACAACACUUCCGGCCUGUCGGGCAGCCCACGCUGCCGAGCAAGACCUUCGAUUGGAGC